CCAAUAGCGUAUAUUAAAGUUGUUGCAGUUAAAAAGCUCGUAGUUGAAUUUCGGGAUUGACGUGACGGUCAUGCCUUAAGGGGUAUGAACUGUUACUGUUGAUUUCUCACCUUCUGGAGAAACUUGAUGUCCUUUAUUGGGUGUCUUGCGGAUCCAGGACCUUUACCUUGAAAAAAUUAGAGUGUUUAAAGCAGGCAUUU
RNAcentral lists this ribosomal RNA (200 nucleotides) under uncultured Glomus. Its description in RNAcentral is "partial small subunit ribosomal RNA". It matches the Rfam family "Eukaryotic small subunit ribosomal RNA", at positions 591 to 789 of the family's 1831-position model. Lineage: Eukaryota; Fungi; Glomeromycota; Glomeromycetes; Glomerales; Glomeraceae. The record is from RNAcentral.